CCUACGGGUGGCAGCAGUGAGGAAUAUUGGUCAAUGGCCGUAAGGCUGAACCAGCCAAGUAGCGUGAGGGAAGACUGCCCUAUGGGUUGUAAACCUCUUUUAUGCGGGAAUAAAGGAGGCCACGUGUGGAGUUUUGCAAGUACCGCAUGAAUAAGGACCGGCUAAUUCCGUGCCAGCAGCCGCGGUAAUACGGAGGGUACGGGCGUUAUCCGGAUUUAUUGGGUUUAAAGGGAGCGUAGGCCGGUCUUUAAGCAUGCCGUGAAAUUUUGUGGCUCAACCAUGAGAGUGCGGCGGGAACUGGAGUCCUUGAGUGAGCGGAAGGCAGGCGGAAUUCGUGGUGUAGCGGUGAAAUGCUUAGAUAUCACGCAGAACCCCGAUUGCGAAGGCAGCAUGCCGCAGCGCUACUGACGCUGAAGCUCGAAAGCGCGGGUAUCGAACAGGAUUAGAUACCCUUGUAGUC
This 460-nucleotide ribosomal RNA is filed under the name uncultured bacterium. RNAcentral's name for it is "partial 16S ribosomal RNA". It matches the Rfam family "Bacterial small subunit ribosomal RNA", at positions 338 to 795 of the family's 1533-position model. The record is from RNAcentral.